Molecule: transfer RNA, 102 nt
Organism: Neurospora tetrasperma FGSC 2509
Lineage: Eukaryota; Fungi; Ascomycota; Sordariomycetes; Sordariales; Sordariaceae
Rfam family: tRNA
About the family: Transfer RNA (tRNA) molecules are approximately 80 nucleotides in length.
Source: Rfam
GCCCGCGUGGCGCAAUUGGUUAGCGCGUCAGACUUUUAAGAAACCUGUAAAAAGGUCUUCUAAGCCAUCUGAAUGUUGCGAGUUCGAGUCUCGCCGUGGGCG